GACGACGCUGGCGGCGUGCCUAACACAUGCAAGUCGAACGGUCCGGCACUCAACCGACCCUCAGUCUAACUGUAGGGGAAGUUGAGUGCCGGGUAGUGGCGGACGGGUGAGUAACGCGUGGGCAACCAACCCUGUACAGUGGGAUAACACCGGGAAACCGGUGCUAAUACCGCAUGACACCUAUAUGGUGCAUACCGUAUAGGUUAAAGGAUUUAACCGGUACAGGACGGGCCCGCGUCCCAUUAGCUAGUUGGUGAGGUAACGGCCCACCAAGGCGACGAUGGGUAGCCGACCUGAGAGGGUGACCGGCCACACUGGGACUGAGACACGGCCCAGACUCCUACGGGAGGCAGCAGUGGGGAAUAUUGCGCAAUGGGGGGAACCCUGACGCAGCGACGCCGCGUGAGCGACGAAGGCCUUCGGGUCGUAAAGCUCUGUUCUUGGGGACGAAGGAAAUGACGGUACCCAAGGAGAAAGCCCCGGCUAACUACGUG
This 494-nucleotide ribosomal RNA is filed under the name uncultured bacterium. RNAcentral describes it as "bacterial SSU rRNA". It matches the Rfam family "Bacterial small subunit ribosomal RNA", at positions 33 to 507 of the family's 1533-position model. The record is from RNAcentral.